AGGAUGAACGCUGGCGGCGUGCCUAACACAUGCAAGUCGAACGUCCUGUCUCGCAAGAGGCAGGGAGUGGCGGACGGGUGAGUACCACGUGGGUUAUCUACCGUGAGGUGAGGAAUACCGGCGAGAAAUCGCCGACAAGACCGCAUAGCCUCGGUGCAAGCCGAGGAAAGCUUUCUCGAGAGAGGGAGCGCCACACGAGGAGCCUGCGCCCGAUUAGCUAGCUGGUGGAGUAACGGUUCACCAGGGCGACGAUCGGUAGCUGGUCUGAGAGGACGAUCAGCCACACUGGGAUUGAGAACGGCCCAGACUCCUACGGGGGGCAGCAGUGAGGAAUUUUCGUCAAUGGGGCAACCUGAACGAGCAACGCCGCGUGCAGGAAGAAGGUUUUCGGAUCGUAAACUGCUUUUCGUCGGGAAGAGAAUGGACGGUACCCGAGGAAUCACGCCCGGCUAACUACGCGCCAGCAGCCGCGGUAA
RNAcentral lists this ribosomal RNA (476 nucleotides) under uncultured bacterium. RNAcentral describes it as "SSU rRNA". It matches the Rfam family "Bacterial small subunit ribosomal RNA", at positions 26 to 523 of the family's 1533-position model. The record is from RNAcentral.